UACGGAGGGUGCUAGCGUUGUUCGGAAUCACUGGGCGUAAAGCGCGUGUAGGCGGCCCAUCAAGUCUGAUGUGAAAGCCCGGGGCUCACCCCCGGAAGUGCAUUGGAGACUGUUGGGCUGGAGUCCCGGAGAGGAGGGUGGAAUUCCUGGUGUAGCGGUGAAAUGCGUAGAUAUCAGGAGGAACACCGGUGGCGAAGGCGGCCCUCUGGACGGUGACUGACGCUGAGACGCGAAAGCGUGGGGAGCAAACAGG
Molecule: ribosomal RNA, 253 nt
Filed under: uncultured bacterium
Lineage: Bacteria
Description: partial 16S ribosomal RNA
Rfam family: Bacterial small subunit ribosomal RNA
Source: RNAcentral